CAACCAGAAGGGAUGGAACCAGGUUCCACCCCUCCCUAAGCCUCAUUUAAGGACUGGCUGCCCCAGGGAGAGGAUCUCUACCUGGAGAUCCCUUCUUUUGGAGUAUUUGGCAAGCCCUGAUCCUUGGGAUGGAUUGAGCCCAUCAGGCACUGGAAACCCUGAAGGAGACGAGCAAGGAGAUGAGCAAGCAUUAAAUCACCUAGAAAAAUGGCCACGAUGAAGCUGAAAAAAAACCAACCCGCACCCCAAGGUGCCACCAGGAGGACUCUGUCCCGACAGCCAUGGUGGGAACAGCUCCCGCACCCCCCAGUGCCAUCUCCGAGCUCUGCCAGGAGGAGAGAAGCAAAAAAACACUCGAGCAGCCAGGAGACGAUCCCUCCAUCGAUUGUGUAAACUGUCAGUGGAGUGGCAAGGAGCAUUUUUUUUUAUUUAUUUCUAUCCCAGGGAAUAAUCCAGCCCGAUAAUUAGUACAUAAGAGAUAAGUGGAAAAUGAGACAUCUAGCGAGGGUGGUUCGAGGCUCCUCAUGACAUUGAUAAUGUGCAGAUACAUAGAUCACUGUCGGGGCCAACCGCCACCACGAGCCCGUGUCUUCCCAUUGCCUCAUCAAUCCAUCAUCCGCUUAGCUGCUGACACCUUGGCAGGCACACACCACCGGCCCCGCAUUAGAAUUGCAAGGAGCGGGCUCCACCGGGGAAUACAGAUUUAAAAAUCUAAGAUUCAAAUUUGUUUAAGUAUUGUGAACAGCAAUUCCCUCGCAAGGCAUCUUCAUUGCCCUUUUGCCAAGGGGGAACAGUUGGGUCUUUGUUAGAAGUACAAAUUGCUUCUUAAUGCAAAGGAUAAAGCGGAGCCCAGGCACCUCCUUAGAAUUCCUCCUGGCUCCCGCUAAUGCUGCUGCAUGUCAAUUUUAAUUUUUUGAAAUUUAAACCGAGGGCUUUGUGUCUAAG
Gallus gallus (chicken) is the source of this 945-nucleotide long non-coding RNA. The record is from Ensembl. NCBI's taxonomy places the organism in Eukaryota, Metazoa, Chordata, Aves, Galliformes, Phasianidae.